CCAAAUAAUUUUUGUUUUUUUCUCUUCGAACUCUUAACUUCCAAAUUUAAUUCCUCCAUAUUUCCAUCUCUUUCUCUCUCUCAUUCCUCCAUCUAUCGAGUCCCACAACCUGUUGGUUUUGAUUCCAGACUAUGAUAGAUGAAUACUAGUGGUGGUCCAGUUCGUGAUGGGGUGGAGAUUUGAGCGAUUAAAGAAGCAUCCAAGGAAAAAGACUGAUUCCCUUAUAAUAGUGAAAGAUCAUAGUUCUAAAAAUAGAAGGGGAAAUACAGUACAGUAGCAAAGUCUCUGCCUCAGUCUCGUCGUUUGGAGGGAAGGUGAUUGGGAGAAGCAAGGGAAAAAAAUGGAUCAUAUCUGAGAGCUCCAAUGAAGAUAAAGACCACGUGGACGAUUAGGACAAGAGUAUAGUUUAAGGUUUUAGUGAAGAAGGUAAUAGGGAAGACAGAAGUGAUGAAGGAGAAUGUGAUCAUAACAAUAAUAUAUCAUGUGGUAGAAAGCACCAUCCAUCCAAUUGCUUUUUCAUCAUUUCCAGCCGAAGUUUCCCUCUGGAUGAGUUGGUAAUGUGAAUUUCUUUUAAUUGUCUUUUUAUACCUAUCUGAACUGACAAACUUAACCUUUUCUAUUUCAAACAUCAAUCAACAUGAUGAGUUUUAUUGUAACACUCAAUAAGAGGUCAAUCAAUUAAAAAUUUAAGGGUAUAAUUGUAUCCAACCACGUAGCUUAA
Long non-coding RNA from Cucumis melo (muskmelon), 721 nucleotides. RefSeq lists it as uncharacterized. Lineage: Eukaryota; Viridiplantae; Streptophyta; Magnoliopsida; Cucurbitales; Cucurbitaceae. The transcript is spliced from 2 exons. The record is from RefSeq and is a predicted model, not a curated record.